GAUGAACGCUGGCGGCGUGCCUAACACAUGCAAGUCGAACGGAGAUUACGGACGGAAGUUUUCGGAUGGAAGACUGUAAUUCUUAGUGGCGGACGGGUGAGUAACGCGUGGGCAACCUGCCCUAUACAGGGGGAUAGCAGCUGGAAACGGCUGGUAAGACCGCAUAAGUCGGCGAGACCGCAUGGUUUUGCCGGGAAAUGAGCAAUCAGGUAUAGGAUGGACCCGCGUCCGAUUAGCCAGUUGGCAGGGUAAAAGCCUACCAAAGCAACGAUCGGUAGCCGGACUGAGAGGUCGGACGGCCACAUUGGGACUGAGACACGGCCCAAACUCCUACGGGAGGCAGCAGUGGGGGAUAUUGCACAAUGGAGGAAACUCUGAUGCAGCGACGCCGCGUGAGUGAAGAAGUAUUUCGGUAUGUAAAGCUCUAUCAGCAGGGAAGAUGAUGACGGUACCUGACUAAGAAGCCCCGGCUAACUACGUG
This 481-nucleotide ribosomal RNA is filed under the name uncultured bacterium. Its description in RNAcentral is "partial 16S ribosomal RNA". It matches the Rfam family "Bacterial small subunit ribosomal RNA", at positions 28 to 507 of the family's 1533-position model. The record is from RNAcentral.